GAUGAACGCUGGCGGCGUGCCUAAUACAUGCAAGUCGAGCGAACAGACGAGGAGCUUGCUCCUCUGACGUUAGCGGCGGACGGGUGAGUAACACGUGGAUAACCUACCUAUAAGACUGGGAUAACUUCGGGAAACCGGAGCUAAUACCGGAUAAUAUAUUGAACCGCAUGGUUCAAUAGUGAAAGACGGUUUUGCUGUCACUUAUAGAUGGAUCCGCGCCGCAUUAGCUAGUUGGUAAGGUAACGGCUUACCAAGGCAACGAUGCGUAGCCGACCUGAGAGGGAGAUCGGGCAGACUGGAUCUGAGACACGGCCCAGACUCCUGCGGGAGGCAGCAGUAGGGAAUCUUACGCAAUGGGCGAAAGCCUGACAGAGCAACGCCGCGGGAGUGAUGAAGGUCUUCGGAUCGUAAAACUCUGUUAUUAGGGAAGAACAAAUGUGUAAGUAACUAUGCACGUCUUGACGGUACCUAAUCAGAAAGCCACGGCUAACUACGUG
RNAcentral lists this ribosomal RNA (497 nucleotides) under uncultured bacterium. RNAcentral's name for it is "partial 16S ribosomal RNA". It matches the Rfam family "Bacterial small subunit ribosomal RNA", at positions 28 to 507 of the family's 1533-position model. The record is from RNAcentral.